CUUAUACUCCCUCCGUUCUGAAUUACUUGUCUUGGAUUUGUCUAGAUACGAAUGUAUCUAGACUCAUUUUAGUGCUAGAUACCUCCGUAUCUAGACAAAUCUAAGACAAGUAAUUCGGAACGGAGGGAUUAUCUU
Molecule: non-coding RNA, 135 nt
Organism: Triticum aestivum (bread wheat)
Lineage: Eukaryota; Viridiplantae; Streptophyta; Magnoliopsida; Poales; Poaceae
Source: Rfam